GCAGUCGAGCGAGCAGAACCAGCAGAUUUACUUCGGUAAUGACGCUGGGGACGCGAGCGGCGGAUGGGUGAGUAACACGUGGGGAACCUGCCCCAUAGUCUGGGAUACCACUUGGAAACAGGUGCUAAUACCGGAUAAGAAAGCAGAUCGCAUGAUCAGCUUAUAAAAGGCGGCGUAAGCUGUCGCUAUGGGAUGGCCCCGCGGUGCAUUAGCUAGUUGGUAAGGUAACGGCUUACCAAGGCAAUGAUGCAUAGCCGAGUUGAGAGACUGAUCGGCCACAUUGGGACUGAGACACGGCCCAAACUCCUACGGGAGGCAGCAGUAGGGAAUCUUCCACAAUGGACGCAAGUCUGAUGGAGCAACGCCGCGUGAGUGAAGAAGGUUUUCGGAUCGUAAAGCUCUGUUGUUGGUGAAGAAGGAUAGAGGUAGUAACUGGCCUUUAUUUGACGGUAAUCAACCAGAAAGUCACGGCUAACUACGUGCCAGCAGCCGCGGUAAUACGUAGGUGGCAAGCGUUGUCCGGAUUUAUUGGGCGUAAAGCGAGCGCAGGCGGAAGAAUAAGUCUGAUGUGAAAGCCCUCGGCUUAACCGAGGAACUGCAUCGGAAACUGUUUUUCUUGAGUGCAGAAGAGGAGAGUGGAAUUCCAUGUGUAGCGGUGGAAUGCGUAGAUAUAUGGAAGAACACCAGUGGCGAAGGCGACUCUCUGGUCUGCAACUGACGCUGAGGCUCGAAAGCAUGGGUAGCGAACAGGAU
This 753-nucleotide ribosomal RNA is filed under the name Lactobacillus sp. JCM 1555. RNAcentral's name for it is "bacterial SSU rRNA". It matches the Rfam family "Bacterial small subunit ribosomal RNA", at positions 57 to 778 of the family's 1533-position model. Lineage: Bacteria; Bacillati; Bacillota; Bacilli; Lactobacillales; Lactobacillaceae. The record is from RNAcentral.